Molecule: unclassified non-coding RNA, 270 nt
Filed under: Hevea brasiliensis (rubber tree)
Lineage: Eukaryota; Viridiplantae; Streptophyta; Magnoliopsida; Malpighiales; Euphorbiaceae
Source: RNAcentral
CUCUGCUGUUUUCUCUAUAGUUUUUGACCAUGUCCGGUUAGUAGGUCGGUUUUGAAAUUGAUAGCUUUGGUAGGCUAUAAAUAGAAGCUACAGGUCAUUAGCAUGUGAUGUGGUAGCUUUGUAAUGUCGAUGAGUUUCUUCUGCUUGUCUUAGUUGAAUCAACUUCUUGAACAUCAGAAAUUAAACAUCCUUUUGGAUGUUAUAGACGCAAAGAAAAUGUAUAAGCAAACAUAUAUAAUAACCUAAAUGGUUCUUUCAGCUUGUAUUUAU